GGCGACCGGCGCACGGGUGAGUAACACGUAUCCAACCUGCCCUUUACUCGGGGAUAGCCUUUCGAAAGAAAGAUUAAUACCCGAUAGCAUAAUGAUUCCGCAUGGUUUCAUUAUUAAAGGAUUCCGGUAAAGGAUGGGGAUGCGUUCCAUUAGGUUGUUGGUGGGGUAACGGCCCACCAAGCCUUCGAUGGAUAGGGGUUCUGAGAGGAAGGUCCCCCACAUUGGAACUGAGACACGGUCCAAACUCCUACGGGAGGCAGCAUG
RNAcentral lists this ribosomal RNA (264 nucleotides) under uncultured bacterium. Its description in RNAcentral is "partial 16S ribosomal RNA". It matches the Rfam family "Bacterial small subunit ribosomal RNA", at positions 90 to 353 of the family's 1533-position model. The record is from RNAcentral.